RNAcentral lists this ribosomal RNA (2936 nucleotides) under Serratia marcescens. RNAcentral describes it as "23S ribosomal RNA". It matches the Rfam family "Bacterial large subunit ribosomal RNA". The record is from RNAcentral. Lineage: Bacteria; Pseudomonadati; Pseudomonadota; Gammaproteobacteria; Enterobacterales; Yersiniaceae.
GGGUUGUGAGGUUAAGUGACUAAGCGUACACGGUGGAUGCCUAGGCAGUCAGAGGCGAUGAAGGGCGUGCUAAUCUGCGAAAAGCGUCGGUAAGGUGAUAUGAACCGUUAUAACCGGCGAUACCCGAAUGGGGAAACCCAGUGUGUUUCGACACACUAUCAUGUCAUGAAUACAUAGUGGCAUGAGGCGAACCGGGGGAACUGAAACAUCUAAGUACCCCGAGGAAAAGAAAUCAACCGAGAUUCCCCCAGUAGCGGCGAGCGAACGGGGAGGAGCCCAGAACCUGAAUCGGCUUGUGUGUUAGUGGAAGCGUCUGGAAAGUCGCGCAGCAAAGGGUGAUAGCCCCGUACACUAAAAUGCACAGGUCGUGAGUUCGAUGAGUAGGGCGGGACACGUGACAUCCUGUCUGAAUAUGGGGGGACCAUCCUCCAAGGCUAAAUACUCCUGACUGACCGAUAGUGAACCAGUACCGUGAGGGAAAGGCGAAAAGAACCCCGGCGAGGGGAGUGAAAUAGAACCUGAAACCGUGUACGUACAAGCAGUGGGAGCACCUUCGUGGUGUGACUGCGUACCUUUUGUAUAAUGGGUCAGCGACUUAUAUUUUGUAGCAAGGUUAACCGUAUAGGGGAGCCGUAGGGAAACCGAGUCUUAACUGGGCGACUAGUUGCAAGGUAUAGACCCGAAACCCGGUGAUCUAGCCAUGGGCAGGUUGAAGGUUGGGUAACACUAACUGGAGGACCGAACCGACUAAUGUUGAAAAAUUAGCGGAUGACUUGUGGCUGGGGGUGAAAGGCCAAUCAAACCGGGAGAUAGCUGGUUCUCCCCGAAAGCUAUUUAGGUAGCGCCUCGUGAUAACAUUCUUCGGGGGUAGAGCACUGUUUCGGCUAGGGGGCCAUCCCGGCUUACCAAACCGAUGCAAACUCCGAAUACCGAAGAAUGUUAUCACGGGAGACACACGGCGGGUGCUAACGUCCGUCGUGAAGAGGGAAACAACCCAGACCGCCAGCUAAGGUCCCAAAGUCAUGGUUAAGUGGGAAACGAUGUGGGAAGGCAUAGACAGCCAGGAUGUUGGCUUAGAAGCAGCCAUCAUUUAAAGAAAGCGUAAUAGCUCACUGGUCGAGUCGGCCUGCGCGGAAGAUGUAACGGGGCUAAACCAUGCACCGAAGCUGCGGCAGCGACGCUUAGGCGUUGUUGGGUAGGGGAGCGUUCUGUAAGCCGUUGAAGGUGGCCUGUGAGGGUUGCUGGAGGUAUCAGAAGUGCGAAUGCUGACAUAAGUAACGAUAAAGCGGGUGAAAAGCCCGCUCGCCGGAAGACCAAGGGUUCCUGUCCAACGUUAAUCGGGGCAGGGUGAGUCGACCCCUAAGGCGAGGCUGAAAAGCGUAGUCGAUGGGAAACAGGUUAAUAUUCCUGUACUUGGUGUUACUGCGAAGGGGGGACGGAGAAGGCUAGGCUAGCCGGGCGACGGUUGUCCCGGUUUAAGCGUGUAGGGGGUGUGACCUGGUAAAUCCGGUUGCAUACUAACCCUGAGGCGUGAUGACGAUGCACUACGGUGCAGAAGUAGUUGAUGCCCUGCUUCCAGGAAAAUCCUCUAAGCUCCAGGUAACAUUAAAUCGUACCCCAAACCGACACAGGUGGUCAGGUAGAGAAUACCAAGGCGCUUGAGAGAACUCGGGUGAAGGAACUAGGCAAAAUGGUGCCGUAACUUCGGGAGAAGGCACGCUGGCAUGUAGGUGAAGUCCCUCGCGGAUGGAGCUGAAGCCAGUCGAAGAUACCAGCUGGCUGCAACUGUUUAAUAAAAACACAGCACUGUGCAAACACGAAAGUGGACGUAUACGGUGUGACGCCUGCCCGGUGCUGGAAGGUUAAUUGAUGGGGUCAGCCGCAAGGCGAAGCUCUUGAUCGAAGCCCCAGUAAACGGCGGCCGUAACUAUAACGGUCCUAAGGUAGCGAAAUUCCUUGUCGGGUAAGUUCCGACCUGCACGAAUGGCGUAAUGAUGGCCAGGCUGUCUCCACCCGAGACUCAGUGAAAUUGAACUCGCUGUGAAGAUGCAGUGUACCCGCGGCAAGACGGAAAGACCCCGUGAACCUUUACUAUAGCUUGACACUGAACAUUGAGCCUUGAUGUGUAGGAUAGGUGGGAGGCUUUGAAGCGUGGACGCCAGUCUGCGUGGAGCCAUCCUUGAAAUACCACCCUUUAAUGUUUGAUGUUCUAACUCGGCCCCGUAAUCCGGGGUGAGGACAGUGUCUGGUGGGUAGUUUGACUGGGGCGGUCUCCUCCCAAAGAGUAACGGAGGAGCACGAAGGUUAGCUAAUCACGGUCGGACAUCGUGAGGUUAGUGCAAAGGCAUAAGCUAGCUUGACUGCGAGAGUGACGGCUCGAGCAGGUACGAAAGUAGGUCUUAGUGAUCCGGUGGUUCUGAAUGGAAGGGCCAUCGCUCAACGGAUAAAAGGUACUCCGGGGAUAACAGGCUGAUACCGCCCAAGAGUUCAUAUCGACGGCGGUGUUUGGCACCUCGAUGUCGGCUCAUCACAUCCUGGGGCUGAAGUAGGUCCCAAGGGUAUGGCUGUUCGCCAUUUAAAGUGGUACGCGAGCUGGGUUUAGAACGUCGUGAGACAGUUCGGUCCCUAUCUGCCGUGGGCGUUGGAAGAUUGAGAGGGGUUGCUCCUAGUACGAGAGGACCGGAGUGAACGCACCACUGGUGUUCGGGUUGUCAUGCCAAUGGCAUUGCCCGGUAGCUAAGUGCGGAAAAGAUAAGCGCUGAAAGCAUCUAAGCGCGAAACUUGCCUCAAGAUGAGUCUUCCCUGGGCCUUCAAGGCCCCUGAAGGAACGUUUAAGACUAAGACGUUGAUAGGCUGGGUGUGUAAGUGCAGCGAUGCAUUGAGCUAACCAGUACUAAUGAUCCGUGAGGCUUAACCUUACAACACCGAAGGUGUUU